Molecule: ribosomal RNA, 264 nt
Filed under: uncultured bacterium
Lineage: Bacteria
Description: partial 16S ribosomal RNA
Rfam family: Bacterial small subunit ribosomal RNA
Source: RNAcentral
GUCCACGCCGUAAACGAUGAGUGCUAGGUGUUGCGGGUAUUGACCCCUGCAGUGCCAAAGCUAACGCGUUAAGCACUCCGCCUGGGGAGUACGGUCGCAAGAUUAAAACUCAAACGGAAUUGACGGGGGCGCGCACAAGCAGUGGAGCAUGUGGUUUAAUUCGACGCAACGCGCAGAACCUUACCUGGGUUUGAACUGCAGCGGACAGACGCAGAAAUGCGUUCUCCCUUCGGGGUCGCUGUGGAGGUGCUGCAUGGCUGUCGU